This 1042-nucleotide long non-coding RNA is filed under the name Sparus aurata (gilthead seabream). RNAcentral's name for it is "lncRNA (ENSSAUG00010006822.1)". The record is from RNAcentral. Lineage: Eukaryota; Metazoa; Chordata; Actinopteri; Spariformes; Sparidae.
AUGUUAAGCAUGUGUUCGUGCUGUUGUGUUACAGGUAGUCAACAGUCUGGACUGGUUUGGGUCCAAGUUGUGGUAAAGCUCCUGGGAAUCGUAACGCUCAUCAGUGUGUCAGUCAUCUUUGAGUGCUGGUUUCGAUUAAGACGCUCCACCAAACCACCGAAGGAGGCCGUAGAAGCAGACUAUGUAAACACAGUGUGUCAGCCAUCAUCAGGAAACAGACGGUGAAGAUGAAGAUGUGAUUAUGUCUCCCUCUUUGGCUGUACUUGUUUGUGUGCAGCCUGUGAUAAUGUGUUGAUGUUCUCCAGGUCAUUAUUACUAAAUAGUAAAUCAUUUAAACAUGACUACAGACUUGGGUGUAUAAUCAUUUUAUAAUGUGUUUUUUUCUACCAUGUGUUUCUUUGUUGAAGUAAAGAAAUUAUCUUAAAGAAUGUUUCUUAUGUUGAAAUCAUUUAUGGCAUCGACGUUUUAUUUUGUUCUCAAAGUCUAAUAUUGGUUAUUUUUCAACCUGGACCAUAUUUUCCUGUUUUUGGUAAGUCGCUGCUGCCUGGACAUUUAAUCUUUUUUUUCAUAAUUUCAGAGGAAAACAACAUGGUUGCAAUUUUCAAUACAUGUUCCUCAAGGGUCCAUAGGGGGGAUUUGAAAAUGUAUUUUGAUACCACAGAUUUUAUUGGAGAUGUGAAAUAUUAAAGCAACAUUAUGUAGAAAUCGGUAGCACCCAUUAGCUCAGUUGGUAGAGUGGGCGUCCCAUGUAGAGAGGUUUUGUCCUCGCUGCAGCAGCCCGGGGUUUGAGUCUGACCUGUGGCCCCUUCCUUCUUGUCACCCCCCUAUCCUGUUGCCUGUCAUCCCUCAAUUGUCAUUUCAAAAAAGCCAAGGCGCAUUUGCUCAGAGGGAUUACAUUACAGCAGCCUCGCUCCAUACUGGACCAGUUUCAGAAGUUGUUGUUAUCACCAGUCACUUACACAAAAAUCUGAGAAAAUGGCACCCAGGUUUGGAAAAUACUUAAGAUGCUUAUUCCAUGUCAUUAUUUUGCAUUGGAUGUAUG